GUAUACAGGAAGUACUGACAAAGAAGAAAAUGGAUAAUUGGCUGUAUAUUGUGAUGUAGAAAGUGAGACGAAAUAUCCCUGCACGCGAUGUAUUGAAUUCUACAUUCUUUAAUAUUGCAGUGAACUGAUUCACUCACCAAAAUAAAUUUUAUUCGUGUACAGAAUGUCUUGUUGUAUUAAAAAGUUAUGGCUUUACCAGGGCCCAGCACACAAUGUAAGUUUGUGCUUUGGGUCAUCACAAGAAUUUUUUGUGUAAGCAAACUUUUCAUCAUAACGCAAGUAGAAUAAAAACUAUGCAAAUUUCA
Xenia sp. Carnegie-2017 is the source of this 305-nucleotide long non-coding RNA. RefSeq lists it as uncharacterized. The transcript has 2 exons. The record is from RefSeq and is a predicted model, not a curated record. Lineage: Eukaryota; Metazoa; Cnidaria; Anthozoa; Malacalcyonacea; Xeniidae.